This 381-nucleotide ribosomal RNA is filed under the name uncultured bacterium. RNAcentral describes it as "partial 16S ribosomal RNA". It matches the Rfam family "Bacterial small subunit ribosomal RNA", at positions 338 to 734 of the family's 1533-position model. The record is from RNAcentral.
CCUACGGGUGGCAGCAGUGGGGGAUAUUGCACAAUGGGGGAAACCCUGAUGCAGCGACGCCGCGUGGGCGAAGAAGUAUCUCUGUAUGUAAAGCCCUAUCUGCAGGGGAGAAGAAAUGACGGUACCUGAGUAAGAAGCACCGGCGAAAUACGUGCCAGCAGCCGCGGUAAUACGUAGGGUGCAAGCGUUAUCCGGAUUUACUGGGUGUAAAGGGAGCGCAGGCGGCACGGCAUGCCUGGUGUGAAAGCCCGCGGCCCAACCGCGGGACUGCAUUUGGAACUGCCGGGCUAGAGUGCCGGAGAGGUAGGCGGAAUGCCUGGUGUAGCGGUGAAAUGCGUAGAUAUUAGGAGGAACACCGGUGGCGAAGGCAGCCUACUGGAC